RNAcentral lists this ribosomal RNA (497 nucleotides) under uncultured bacterium. Its description in RNAcentral is "partial 16S ribosomal RNA". It matches the Rfam family "Bacterial small subunit ribosomal RNA", at positions 28 to 507 of the family's 1533-position model. The record is from RNAcentral.
GAUGAACGCUGGCGGCGUGCCUAAUACAUGCAAGUCGAGCGAACAGAUGAGGAGCUUGCUCCUCUGACGUUAGCGGCGGACGGGUGAGUAACACGUGGAUAACCUACCUAUAAGACUGGGAUAACUUCGGGAAACCGGAGCUAAUACCGGAUAAUAUAUUGAACCGCAUGGUUCAAUAGUGAAAGACGGUUUUGCUGUCACUUAUAGAUGGAUCCGCGCCGCAUUAGCUAGUUGGUAAGGUAACGGCUUACCAAGGCAACGAUGCGUAGCCGACCUGAGAGGGUGAUCGGCCACACGGGAACGGAGACAGCGUCCAGACUCCUAAGGGAGGCAGCAGUAGGGAAUCUGCCGCAAUGGGCGAAAGCUUGACGGAGCAACGCCGAGUGAGUGAUGAAGGUCUUCGGAUCGUAAAAAUCUGUUAUUAGGGAAGAACAAAUGUGUAAGUAACUAUGCACGUCUUGACGGUACCUAAUCAGAAAGCCACGGCUAACUACGUG